UGCGGCUGGCCCUGGAUGCCAUGAGGGUGAGUGGGUGUAGGGUGCUGGUGACUCACCUGCUGCAGACACUCUCCUGGUAGGGGCUGAUCCUCUAGCCGGGGUUAGGUAGGAGCCUGGGUCGGCUGUUGGGGGGCCAGGUUCACCUCUGCCCCCUCCCCAGGACCUGGCUCAGUGCGUGAACGAGGUCAAGCGAGACAACGAGACACUGCGGCAGAUCACCAAUUUCCAGCUGUCCAUUGAGAACCUGGACCAGUCUCUGGCUCACUAUGGCCGGCCCAAGAUCGACGGGGAACUCAAGAUCACCUCGGUGGAACGGCGCUCCAAGAUGGACAGCUUCCAGGUUCGGGACGACUCUUCAGGAGACCGAGAUAACAAGAAGUGGAGCCACAUGUUCCUCCUGAUCGAGGACCAAGGUGCCCAGGGCUAUGAGCUGUUCUUCAAGACAAGAGAAUUGAAGAAGAAGUGGAUGGAGCAGUUUGAGAUGGCCAUCUCCAACAUCUAUCCGGAGAAUGCCACCGCCAACGGGCAUGACUUCCAGAUGUUCUCCUUUGAGGAGACCACGUCCUGCAAGGCCUGUCAGAUGCUGCUUAGAGGUACCUUCUAUCAGGGCUACCGCUGCCAUCGGUGCCGGGCAUCUGCACACAAGGAGUGUCUGGGGAGGGUCCCUCCAUGUGGCCGACAUGGGCAAG
This 689-nucleotide small RNA is filed under the name Pan troglodytes (chimpanzee). Its description in RNAcentral is "retained intron". Lineage: Eukaryota; Metazoa; Chordata; Mammalia; Primates; Hominidae. The record is from RNAcentral.